UACGUAGGAUCCAAGCGUUGUCCGGAUUUACUGGGUGUAAAGGGCGUGUAGGUGGAUCUCUAAGUCGGUGGUGAAAUCCUGCAGCUUAACUGCAGAACUGCUGUCGAUACUGGAGGUCUUGAGUGCGGUAGAGGGAGACGGAAUUCAUGGUGUAGCGGUGAAAUGUGUAGAUAUCAUGAAGAACACCGGUUGCGAAGGCGGUCUCCUGGCCCGUUACUGACACUGAGACGCGAAAGCGUGGGGAGCAAAC
RNAcentral lists this ribosomal RNA (250 nucleotides) under uncultured bacterium. Its description in RNAcentral is "partial 16S ribosomal RNA". It matches the Rfam family "Bacterial small subunit ribosomal RNA", at positions 524 to 773 of the family's 1533-position model. The record is from RNAcentral.